Molecule: long non-coding RNA, 521 nt
Organism: Melanotaenia boesemani (Boeseman's rainbowfish)
Lineage: Eukaryota; Metazoa; Chordata; Actinopteri; Atheriniformes; Melanotaeniidae
Exons: 3
Source: RefSeq, a predicted model, not a curated record
UUUUGAUAAAGAGAUAAAAUGAGGCGCAGCCUCAUUUAACGUCCUCUCUUCCUUGUUGCGGUAGUGGGAGUCGCGCCUGUGGUUGGCGAUCAGCCGAAAACCAGCAUAUUUUAACCUUUAAUUACAGACUGAAGAUUUUGCAGUGGAUGUUUUUUAAUAAGGUGGGAUGAAUGAUGGAGCUCAUACUGCUGGUAACUUCAAACAAGGAAUUAAAUUCAGUGUUCUUUCCAUGACUUUCAUUGUAUGGGUAAUUUGAAACUUGUAUGUAUAAAUGUGAUUUGUGUUCAGAAUGGACUGAUUGCAUCAUAAGUUUCCUCUUCCCACUUUACACAUUUGUUUGGAUUCAUCUGCUGUUAUUUGUAAAGGAUUUUCCACACUUCUGACUGACUUCUGUAAAUGUGGCAGUGAAUGGUAUAAAAUGUUGUUUUAGACCAGUAAUGGUGAAUGCCAAUGUAUGUUGUGUAAAAUGAAUAUGAAGUCUAAAUGCAUGUACAACAAAUUAUAAAUAAAAAGUUAACGUC